AUCUCCUCUCUGUAAACGGAUUGACCCUUUCUGGACCUUUCACGGGGACCUUUGCAUCCGGCUGCUUUCGUCUGGCGGGAUGUUUUCGAGGUUCGCCCGUGUUGCGGCGGGUGUCCCAACUCCCUUCUUUCGCCGGCUGAGUAUGUCCCGCGAGUGGAGGGACCACAUUUAAUCUCAUCCACUGACGGAAGUUACCUUCUGUCACCUUUGGGCUCUGUGACUAACUCUGCCCUGAACACAGGCUCACCUUCUCUGGGGCGCACACCCUGGAGCGGAAUUGCCGGCUCACGUGCUCCCUGCAGGGGGAGCGUCGGGGAACCGUGGGGCUGUGGUCCAACGCGGCUGCACGGCUAGGCGUCCCCACCCCAUGCAGAGCCCGCGGCUCCAUCGCGCCCCUCCCAGCGCUGCCCGCCCCGUCUUUGGUUCUGGCCGUCCUAGAGGACGUCCCCGGUUCUUGGGGCUCCCAGCACGUCCCAAGGAAAGGCUGAAGCAGCUGCCCCCAUGGCAUAUGGAAGUUCCUGGGCCAGGGAUCGAAUCUGAGCUGGAGCUGCGACCUAUGCCACACCGGCAGCAACGCUGGAUCCUCAGCCCGCUGUACCCGGCCGGGGGAUUGAACUGGUGCCUCCGCAGUGAUGAGCCGGAUCCUUAGCCCACUGCGCCACAGCCAGAACACCCAGACAUCUCUUCGAGUUGAGAGUUUGGUUUGAUUCGGAUAAAUACCUAGCAGUGGGAUUGCUGGACCAGCUGGUAGAGUCACCUGUUUAAUUUUUUGAGGAGCCUCCCUGCUGUUCUCCACGCCCGCCGCCCCGGUUUGCGUUCCCCCCACCAGCGCGCGCCGGUGCCCUUUGGCGCACGCUCUCUCCGGCGCUCGCUCUUUCUUGCCUUUUUGGUGACGGCCGUUCUGACAGGGGCGAGGCGAUGUCUCACUGCGGUUUGAUUAGAUUCCCCGACAAGGAGUGACACUGAGCAUCUCUUCCUGUGCCCGUGGGCCAUCUGUAUGUCUUCUUCGGAAAAAUGCCUCUGCAGCUCUUUUGCCCACCUUUAAAUCAACUGUUUGGUUUUUCCUAUUGGAUUGUAUGCGUUCUUUAUAUAUUCAGGAUACUGACUCCUUAUCAGACCUGAUCUGCGGAGAUUUUCUCCGCGUCCGUAGGUCGCCGUUUUGCUCUGGUGAUGUUUCCCGUGCUGUGCAGAAGCUUCUAGAGCAGUGUCAUCCCACGUGUUUAUUUUUACUUUUGCUGCCUUUGCUUUUGGUCUCAAAUCCAAAACGUCACCGCCAAGACCUGUGUCACGAAGCAUAUGCUGCCCAAGGUUCCUUCUAGGAGGUUUAUGCUUUCAGGUCUUACGGCCAAGGCUGUAACCUGUUUUGAGUUCGGGUGUGUGUGUAGGCCUCAUGCUUUGGCUCGUGGCCGUCCUGUUCCCAGCACCACUUAUCGAAGAGACUGUCCUUUUCCUAAUCGCAUAUUCUUGGCUCCUUGUCUUGAAUGAACAGAUGAUCCGUGGGUGGGUUCAUUCCGGACUCUCCAGUCUCGUGCAUCCUUCUACGUGUGUCCGUUUUUACGACAGCACCACACCAUUUGAAUGCUGGAGCUUUGUCACAUAGACUGAAAUCAGGACGUGGGAUGCUUCCAACUUUGGUUCCUUUUCCUCAACUUCCAACUUUUGUUCCUUUUCCAGUUCCCCGGUCAUCAUCCCAGUUCCCCAGCUUCCAGCCCUUCCUGCUCCCCUUCCCUUACAGCUAGCUCUUCCUGCUCUUUGACCAAUGCCGCUGCUCAGCCUCUCUCUUUAGGCCCAAACCAAGUCCUGGUUCCAAAGAUUGAGUGGAUGAGCCAGGCCCUGCUGAUGGUAGACACAGUUAACGCGGAGAACUUGGUCGAAAUCACAGUCUUCGGACGACCAACUGUACAACAUCGGGUGAAGAACGUCCUCCUUAGCCUAGCGUCGAGGCACCGAGAGCAUCGUGCCUGAGCUGAAAAGAUGGAACAACUCGAGGAGUUCUUGAAGGCCCUUGCAUCAGGUCCCUAGAACCCCCAGCAUCCUGUUGCAUAAGCAUUGUCAGGAGCAUGAGAACAGUCCUGCUUCUGCUACUCAAGUUCAAGAGAAGCAAAUAUCCUUAAAUCUCUGCAUUUUUUUCCUGUGUCCUGAUGGUUUAUUAUUUUGAUGUAAAUGUGAGUUUGUAAUGCCACUGAGUAAAUAAAUGAAUUUCCUUUUUUGUUCAAUA
RNAcentral lists this long non-coding RNA (2218 nucleotides) under Sus scrofa (pig). RNAcentral's name for it is "lncRNA (ENSSSCG00030026673.1)". The record is from RNAcentral. Lineage: Eukaryota; Metazoa; Chordata; Mammalia; Artiodactyla; Suidae.